RNAcentral lists this small nuclear RNA (22 nucleotides) under Arabidopsis thaliana (thale cress). RNAcentral describes it as "snRNA_07398". Lineage: Eukaryota; Viridiplantae; Streptophyta; Magnoliopsida; Brassicales; Brassicaceae. The record is from RNAcentral.
AGAAGACCUCACACAACUGUGA